AAUCUCAAGCCACCACGCAAAGGCGUAUCCAUGGCAACCUCAAAAGGAAGGACACAGAGAUGAUGCUCCAGUGGCUGCAGCAGGAAAAGGAAACCUGUGGCUCCGUGUGGAUUCAGGGGUGCCUUGAGGACGCUCCCAGGAAAGGAGGAGGAGGACCCUUGCAGUUCUGCAGGAACUCUGAGGCGCAGGCAGUCUGACCCCGGGAGAACACUGCCAGGCUGAAGAGCUCAACCCCACCCGAGCUGAAAACGGCGCGCCGAGCGUGGCCGAGAAGACAUCGAUCAGGCACAAAUCUGGACACCUGGGACGAGAUAUGCGCACGCGCACUGUGCCUGGGAAGACGAUUAGGACCAUAAGGGAAAAGCGCGUCCUGGAGCGCGUCCCCUGCCGGCGAAGGGGAGAAGGCGCAGAGGGUCUUGAAGACUCAUUUGCAAACUUUUCCGUACUAAACUGUUAAUUAAAACGACAACGGAAAAAGCAUAUUUCAUCGAUUAACUUGGGAAAAUAAUUAAAUUUUGCUGCUACUCAGUAUCACCCAUCAUGUGGGGAUACAGGCAUUUUUAUGACCUUGUAAUCAGAAUAUAAAAUAACGCAAAUUUACAUAAUGGCAUUUUGGCACUUUUAUAUUUAAAAAAAAUUACGAAGUACAAACUUAUUGAACCAAUGCGCCAACUUCUGAUAAUGUGGCCUACAGAAAUAAUCUAACAAGUAUGCAAAGAUAUUUGUACAAGGAUGUUGGGAGAGCCAGGAUUUGGAUUCGAAUUCUAACUACAAUUUACUAGGUAUGUGAGAUCUUGAGUGGGUUACUUAACCUUUCCGUGCCUGUUUCCUCAUUUAUAAAAUGAGAACGUUAAUGGUGGUAUCUAUCUCAUUACGUUGUUAGGAGGAUUAAGUGAAUCCAUUUAAAGAGUCUGAACUAUAACUAUAUAAUAUUUACGUUUAUCUCAGUUAAUCUCAGAUUGAAAACAAACUGAAAAAUUCACAAAAUAGACGGAGGAGUGGGGGUGGGGUGUAAAUAAUAGAAGGAAUGAAUUGAGCACUCCACUCUACUUCUCCUGCUGUCUUUCCCUUUUUACCUUCUAAAUAUUUCUAAUUAUUAUUCUGAAUAGAUAAUACAUUUGCAUGGUUCAAAAAUCAAAACAAUAUUUAAAAGUAUGCACUGAGAAGCAUCCCUUCAACCCUUAUUCCCAUCUACUUUAACCCCUAUGUCUGCUACUAAUAAUCCUUGUUAUUAGUUUCUUGUUUAUCUUUUCAGUCUUUUAUGCAAAUACAAGCACAUAUGACUAUAUAGUCUUCUGUUUCUUAUGCAAAAGGCAGCAUACUAUAUACACUUGCACCUUGUUUUCUUAACUUAACAAUCCUGGAUGGCUCGGUGUAGUGGCUCACGUCUGUAAUCCCAGCACUCUGGGAGGCCAAGGUGGACAGAUC
Long non-coding RNA from Microcebus murinus (gray mouse lemur), 1428 nucleotides. RefSeq lists it as uncharacterized. The record is from RefSeq and is a predicted model, not a curated record. NCBI's taxonomy places the organism in Eukaryota, Metazoa, Chordata, Mammalia, Primates, Cheirogaleidae.